AACGAACGCUGGCGGCGUGGAUAAUACAUGCAAGUCGAACGGGACAGUCUUGAAGCAAUAUGAGACUGUUCAGUGGCGAACGGGUGCGUAACACGUGGGUCACAUUCCGGGAAGUGAGAAAUAGCCCAGGGAAACUUGGAUUAAUAUCUCAUGUGGUCGCAAGACUAAAGGCGCAAGCCGCUUCCUGAUUGGCCCGCGGCCUAUCAGCUUGUUGGUGAGGUAAUGGCUCACCAAGGCAACGACGGGUAGCUGGUCUGAGAGGACGACCAGCCACACUGGAACUGAGACACGGUCCAGACACCUACGGGUGGCAGCAGUCGAGAAUCUUUUCACAAUGGGCGAAAGCCUGAUGGGAGCGACGCCGCGUGGAGGUUAAGGUCUUCGGGAUUGUAAACUCCUGUCAUGCGAGAACAAAGCCCGCAAGGGUCUGAUAGUAUCGCAAAGAGGAAAGAGACGGGCUAAACUCUGUGCCAGCAG
This 477-nucleotide ribosomal RNA is filed under the name uncultured bacterium. RNAcentral's name for it is "bacterial SSU rRNA". It matches the Rfam family "Bacterial small subunit ribosomal RNA", at positions 29 to 514 of the family's 1533-position model. The record is from RNAcentral.